This 72-nucleotide transfer RNA is filed under the name Candidatus Iainarchaeum sp. RNAcentral describes it as "tRNA-Val". It matches the Rfam family "tRNA". Rfam says of the family: Transfer RNA (tRNA) molecules are approximately 80 nucleotides in length. Their secondary structure includes four short double-helical elements and three loops (D, anti-codon, and T loops). The record is from RNAcentral. Lineage: Archaea; Nanobdellati; Candidatus Iainarchaeota; Candidatus Iainarchaeia; Candidatus Iainarchaeales; Candidatus Iainarchaeaceae.
GGGGUCGUAGUUCAUUGGCAGAACAACACGUUGACGUCGUGUGGGUAGCAGGUUCGAUUCCUGUCGGCCCCA